Molecule: ribosomal RNA, 206 nt
Filed under: uncultured bacterium
Lineage: Bacteria
Description: partial 16S ribosomal RNA
Rfam family: Bacterial small subunit ribosomal RNA
Source: RNAcentral
CUCAGUUCGGAUCGGAGUCUGCAACCCGACUCCGUGAAGCUGGAUUCGCUAGUAAUCGCGCAUCAGCCAUGGCGCGGUGAAUACGUUCCCGGGCCUUGUACACACCGCCCGUCAAGCCAUGGGAGCCGGGGGUGCUUGAAGUGCGUCGCCGCAAGGCGCGCCCUAGAGCAAAACCGGUGACUGGGGCUAAGUCGUAACAAGGUAGC